UGGGGAAUAUUGCGCAAUGGGGGGAACCCUGACGCAGCCAUGCCGCGUGAAUGAAGAAGGCCUUAGGGUUGUAAAGUUCUUUCGGUACUGAGGAAGGUUGAUGUGUUAAUAGCACAUCAAAUUGACGUUAAAUACAGAAGAAGCACCGGCUAACUCCGUGCCAGCAGCCGCGGUAAUACGGAGGGUGCGAGCGUUAAUCGGAAUAACUGGGCGUAAAGGGCACGCAGGCGGUUAUUUAAGUGAGGUGUGAAAGCCCUGGGCUUAACCUAGGAAUUGCAUUUCAGACUGGGUAACUAGAGUACUUUAGGGAGGGGUAGAAUUCCACGUGUAGCGGUGAAAUGCGUAGAGAUGUGGAGGAAUACCGAAGGCGAAGGCAGCCCCUUGGGAAUGUACUGACGCUCAUGUGCGAAAGCGUGGGGAGCAAACAGGAUUAGAUACCCUGGUAGUCCACGCUGUAAACGCUGUCGAUUUGGGGGUUGGGGUUUAACUCUGGCGCCCGUAGCUAACGUGAUAAAUCGACCGCCUGGGGAGUACGGCCGCAAGGUUA
RNAcentral lists this ribosomal RNA (547 nucleotides) under uncultured bacterium. RNAcentral describes it as "bacterial SSU rRNA". It matches the Rfam family "Bacterial small subunit ribosomal RNA", at positions 355 to 896 of the family's 1533-position model. The record is from RNAcentral.